RNAcentral lists this ribosomal RNA (835 nucleotides) under uncultured Actinomycetes bacterium. RNAcentral's name for it is "bacterial SSU rRNA". It matches the Rfam family "Bacterial small subunit ribosomal RNA", at positions 59 to 896 of the family's 1533-position model. Lineage: Bacteria; Bacillati; Actinomycetota; Actinomycetes. The record is from RNAcentral.
AGGUCGUAUCCGGAGAUGGCCUGUGCAGCGUUCUGUCCGUGGGUACUUCGAGUGGUGUAGUAACACGUGGGUGAUCCGUGCCUUGCACUUUCGGGAUAACUUGGUAAACCUGGGUCUGAUACCGGAUAGGACAGCGUGGUUUAGGUGUCAAUUGUGGGAAAGUUUUUUCGGNUGCAAGAUGAGCUCCCGGCCUAUCAGCCUUGUUGUGGGGUAAUGGCCUACCAAGGCGUCGACGGGUACCGGCCUGAGAGGGUGUACGGCCACAUUGGGACUGAGAUACGGCCCAGACUCCUACGGGAGGCAGCAUGGGGAAUAUUGCACAAUGGGCGGAAGCCUGAUGCAGCGACGCCGCUGGGGGAUGAAGGCCUUCGGGUUGUAAACUCCUUUCGACAGGGACGAAGCGUAAGUGACGGUACCUGUAUAAGAAGCACCGGCUAACUACGUGCCAGCAGCCGCGGUAAUACGUAGGGUGCGAGCGUUGUCCGGAAUUACUGGGCGUAAAGAGCUCGUAGGUGGUUUGUCGCGUCGUCUGUGAAAUUCCGGGGCUUAACUCCGGGCGUGCAGGCGAUACGGGCUGACUUGAGUGCUGUAGGGGAGACUGGAAUUCCUGGUGUAGCGGUGAAAUGCGCAGAUAUCAGGAGGAACACCGAUGGCGAAGGCAGGUCUCUGGGCCAGUAACUGACGCUGAGGAGCGAAAGCAUGGGUAGCGAACAGGAUUAGAUACCCUGGUAGUCCAUGCCGUAAACGGUGGGCGCUAGGUGUAGGGGGCUUCCACGUCUUCUGUGCCGUAGCUAACGCAUUAAGCGCCCCGCCUGGGGAGUACGCCGCAAGGCUA